UGCCCAGGGAUGGGAAUCGAACCCACAGUGUUCCGCUUACCGGGCAGAUGCCAUGACCACUAGGCUACCCUGGAC
Molecule: transfer RNA, 75 nt
Filed under: Cordylochernes scorpioides
Lineage: Eukaryota; Metazoa; Arthropoda; Arachnida; Pseudoscorpiones; Chernetidae
Description: tRNA-Thr
Source: RNAcentral